AUGACUUGCCAUGUCUUGAGUGCAACAAUGCUUAUAGUGUUGCUCAUAAGAUUGCCCCCCAUAGCACUCUCACAUAUGUUUGGAGAUUUUGACAUAUUCCUUGUGAAGCAUGCUUGUCUUACCUCUUUGCACCAUAUACCUAGUGCCUUGAAUAUCGCCAUUGUUGCAUCAUAUUAUUCAUGCACUUGUGCUUCUAAUGGUUAUGUGCAAGAGAAGAGAACCAUCAUGAUGGAUGAUGUGUUUAUCUACCAUGCGCAUACACUCUUUGUUUUGUUGUGUGCAUGUGUAGGAUACUUGGACUUCGUGUCGACUUCCACUUCAUAUGAGUUGACCAUUCGAGCUCUUGAGAGCGAGCCUCAUACAUUCGACCAUGACUCGCUUCUACACCACAUUUCCUACCACUUCGACAUUGUGAAGAACGCACAAUGA
Molecule: ribosomal RNA, 429 nt
Filed under: Triticum aestivum (bread wheat)
Lineage: Eukaryota; Viridiplantae; Streptophyta; Magnoliopsida; Poales; Poaceae
Description: partial small subunit ribosomal RNA
Source: RNAcentral